CCCGGUGAUCUAGCCAUGGGCAGGUUGAAGGUUGGGUAACACUAACUGGAGGACCGAACCGACUAAUGUUGAAAAAUUAGCGGAUGACCUGUGGCUGGGGGUGAAAGGCCAAUCAAACCGGGAGAUAGCUGGUUCUCCCCGAAAGCUAUUUAGGUAGCGCCUCGUGAAUUCAUCUCCGGGGGUAGAGCACUGUUUCGGCUAGGGGGCCAUCCCGGCUUACCAACCCGAUGCAAACUGCGAAUACCGGAGAAUGUUAUCACGGGAGACACACGGCGGGUGCUAACGUCCGUCGUGAAGAGGGAAACAACCCAGACCGCCAGCUAAGGUCCCAAAGUCAUGGUUAAGUGGGAAACGAUGUGGGAAGGCCCAGACAGCCAGGAUGUUGGCUUAGAAGCAGCCAUCAUUUAAAGAAAGCGUAAUAGCUCACUGGUCGAGUCGGCCUGCGCGGAAGAUGUAACGGGGCUAAACCAUG
This 472-nucleotide ribosomal RNA is filed under the name Salmonella enterica. RNAcentral's name for it is "partial 23S ribosomal RNA". It matches the Rfam family "Bacterial large subunit ribosomal RNA", at positions 721 to 1191 of the family's 2925-position model. Lineage: Bacteria; Pseudomonadati; Pseudomonadota; Gammaproteobacteria; Enterobacterales; Enterobacteriaceae. The record is from RNAcentral. RNAcentral also lists the same sequence under 3 other names.